GAUGCAUUCUUCCAUCCUCUAGGUCAUUACACAUGCUCAUUUGAAGGUUGAGUUAUCAAUAUCAAUUAUUGUUGCCUAUGGGCGUCUAAUCAGGUUUGCAAGGUAGUGUUAUUUCUCUUUUUUUGUGAUUCUGCAUAUGGCAUAUGAUGAUAUGGUCGGUUUAUAUCUUAAAUUCCAUAAGAACGACCACAUGUUAUGAUAGUAUAUACGAUUCUUAUAUCAGUUCUGCUGUGUUCUCUAUUAUUUGGCUAAUGUAACAAGCUAUUGUUGUGUACAAACAUUUGUAAAGUAGACGUUCUUCAGGGCGUGUGUAUGUUCCUUACUUGCCAUGGGUAUAUAUCUGAAUCGUCAUUGCAUUUAAUUGCUGGAAAUAUUGGUCCCAUUCGACAUAAUCGGUCUAAACCCAAUCUAUUUUCCUAAUACUUAUUGUAGAAUUAACCCAUGAUCUAUAGCUUGAGAAGGGUAUAUUUAAUCUUUAUGAUGUCCACCAGUAUUAGUUCCCCAUCUUACAUCUAAAGAAGUGGCAAGCAUAGAGACAUUAUACGCCAUCCUUAAUUAUUUAAAAGUGCAGAAUCCCAUGUACAAGUUUCCAUUCAUUUCUCUUCGAUGAGUAAAUUCUACUUCAAGAAAAAUUUGGCCAAUGGAAGGUGUGUAAAUCCCAGGCAUACCUAUGUUUGUAAAUCCCAGGCACGGUGUUGCUGUCCUGGAUGCAAAGCUGGAGUGGCUCUGUAUCCUUGGGAUCAGAUUGUUCCUACUCGGAGUCGACGACUUUAAGGCGAGGAAGUGAAUAGAAAUUCCUUGUCAGCUAUGGCACACAUACGGAUAAUUAUUGCAUUUUUUAUUUAACUCAGUUGAUAUUCAUUGAUUCGUCUUUUUACUAGCUUCUUUGGAGGAUUAUUUAUCUCAGGCUCAUAGUGAGCAUAUCCAGGAUUAUUUAUCUAUUUGUUUUCUUUGGAGGUCAUGAUGCUGCUAGCGAUCGACGUUCGCUUGGAAAAAAUGUGUGCCAUCCUAUAUGGAUUAUUUAUCUAUUUGUUUUCUUUGUUGGUUCAGUUCGCAUAUCUGAUUGUGUGCAGAUGCCCUUCAUGGCCAUGGUAGAGGUUUUAGGUUCCAGCAUUUCUGUAAAAAUACAAAGACUUAUAAGCUAGAGCCAGCUUCGGUAUGAGUAAACAUUUAUAUGGUAUAAGGUGGAGGUUCUUUUCAUGCACCAAAAACUGUAGAUCAUUCUGUUUAAUUUCAAUUUAGCCUUGCAUCUACCAAUGGAUCUAUGGAUGUAUGAUAACUUAUGACAUAUAUAUCACAAUAUUAUUCUUCAUCAUUUGUACAUAUUGCUCCAUUCGAAAAUUCUUCAAAAAAAAGGGCCAUAUGCCUAUGGAAGCUACAUUGCAUCAAUGUUCUUGUUUACAAGGAUUUUCAGAAGUCAUUCUAUUGUUAUCUGAAAUAUGGAUAGUAUAAGUGAUUCUCUCCCUUUUUCUUCUAAUAAAUUUGGUUAGGAUGCAAUAGUUGUGAGGGAAUCAGGUUGAAAGUUACUCCCUUGUGUAGCUAUAGGCAUUUCCUUCCUGGUGCUUUUGUAUGUAAUUGUUUCUUUUUCAAAUUUUUACAGGGGAUCACGUGGUCAUGCACUCUUAAGAGGUAAUUAUAUUGCUACGUUUACCUGUUCCGGUAUUUGGUGUUUGCUUUGUGUGACAUCUUGUUGAUUCCAUGUACUGAUGUUGUUGCUACUAUUGUUGGAUGCCUCUUGCCAGGAUUAGUGCGGCGUGCGGCGGACUGUGUUCUGCAAGGGCUCUUGACUCAAGACUGAUUCAGACAAAUUGGUAACUGAUUAGUUUACCCUUGAUGCACUAGCUUUCUUCACAACAUAGUCAUUGACGACCACAACUACAAUGCUCUAAAGACAAUGUACAAGAAAUGCUCCGCUGCACAAAAAUGGAGGAAGAACAAAGAAGAGAAUUAGGUGUUUUGUCCUCUAUUUCAAGAUAUUUUCCCAGUCCGUCGAGGGCCAAGAGAUUCAUCCCGCAACAAGUUGAACAUGGUCUACACGGGAAACAAACCACCAAUAAAUAUAAGAGCAGAAGAACUAGCUUCAUCUCUCUACGACUCUACCACUACAUCGAGACGAACCAAGCUGGAGUAUCAACAUCUCGGGUCUAAGAAGAGAACAAGAGUUCUGCAAUUAUGUAUCCAGUAGCUAUUGUCACCACCUAAUGUAGAUCACUUAUGCAUUCUCUACCACUACAUCACAGAGACAAACCAAGCUAGAGUAUCAACAUCUCGGGUCUAAGAAGAGAACAAAAGCCUACUGUAGAUCGCUUAUGCAUGUACCAACUAGAUGUAUCCUUUCCUUGCAAUGAAUCAAGUCUGAUCACUUAU
Molecule: long non-coding RNA, 2367 nt
Filed under: Triticum aestivum (bread wheat)
Lineage: Eukaryota; Viridiplantae; Streptophyta; Magnoliopsida; Poales; Poaceae
Description: long non-coding RNA (TAES_LNC018782)
Source: RNAcentral